This 118-nucleotide ribosomal RNA is filed under the name Lepisosteus oculatus (spotted gar). Lineage: Eukaryota; Metazoa; Chordata; Actinopteri; Semionotiformes; Lepisosteidae. The record is from RNAcentral.
GCCAGCAGCCAUAUCACCCUGCAACUCACAAGUGUCAACACACUCAAGCUAAGCAGGUGUGAGCCUGGUCAAUACCUUCAUGGGAGACCUUCUGGGAAAGCUAAGGUUACUGUUGGAA